RNAcentral lists this ribosomal RNA (402 nucleotides) under uncultured bacterium. RNAcentral's name for it is "bacterial SSU rRNA". It matches the Rfam family "Bacterial small subunit ribosomal RNA", at positions 355 to 774 of the family's 1533-position model. The record is from RNAcentral.
UGGGGAAUAUUGGAUAAUGGGGGCAACCCUGAUCCAGCCAUGCCGCGUGAGUGAUGAAGGCCUUCGGGUUGUAAAGCUCUUUUGGCGGGGACGAUGAUGACGGUACCCGCAGAAUAAGCCCCGGCUAACUUCGUGCCAGCAGCCGCGGUAAGACGAAGGGGGCAAGCGUUGUUCGGAAUUACUGGGCGUAAAGGGCGCGUAGGCGGUUUGCUUAGUCAGGCGUGAAAGCCCUGGGCUUAACCUGGGAUGUGCGCUUGAUACUGGCAGGCUUGAGUGUGGGAGAGGUUGGUGGAAUUCCCAGUGUAGAGGUGAAAUUCGUAGAUAUUGGGAAGAACACCGGUGGCGAAGGCGGCCAACUGGACCACAACUGACGCUGAGGCGCGAAAGCGUGGGGAGCAAACA